Oncorhynchus keta (chum salmon) is the source of this 3506-nucleotide RNA transcript. It is a transcript of the gene named alpha-actinin-1-like, with no coding region annotated. NCBI's taxonomy places the organism in Eukaryota, Metazoa, Chordata, Actinopteri, Salmoniformes, Salmonidae. The transcript has 24 exons. The record is from RefSeq and is a predicted model, not a curated record.
AUGCUGACAGAGGCAUCGAAUGCAGAGUACUGUAGUGCGUGUAGGAAGAUCGUCGACGGCAAUGCUAAAAUGACCCUGGGAAUGAUCUGGACCAUAAUCCUUCGCUUCGCCAUCCAGGACAUCUCUGUGGAAGAAACAUCAGCCAAAGAGGGUCUUCUUCUGUGGUGCCAGAGGAAGACUGCUCCCUACAAGAAUGUCAACAUUCAGAACUUUCACAUUAGCUGGAAAGAUGGGUUGGGAUUCUGUGCUCUCAUUCACAGACACCGUCCAGAGCUCAUUGACUAUGGCAAGCUGCGCAAGGAUGACCCCAUGACUAACCUGAACACAGCCUUCGACGUGGCAGAGAAGUACCUGGACAUCCCCAAGAUGUUGGACGCUGAGGACAUCGUAGGCACGGCCCGCCCAGAUGAAAAGGCCAUCAUGACCUACGUGUCUAGCUUCUACCACGCAUUCUCUGGCGCUCAGAAGGCGGAGACAGCAGCCAAUCGGAUCUGCAAGGUGUUGGCUGUCAACCAGGAGAAUGAGCAGCUGAUGGAGGAUUACGAGAAGCUGGCUAGUGAUCUCCUGGAGUGGAUCCGGCGCACCAUCCCGUGGCUGGAGAACCGUGCUCCAGAGAACACCAUGCAGGCGAUGCAGCAGAAGCUGGAGGACUUCAGGGACUAUCGGCGUCAACACAAGCCCCCCAAGGUCCAGGAGAAGUGUCAGCUGGAGAUCAACUUCAACACCCUGCAGACCAAGCUGAGACUCAGCAACAGACCUGCCUUCAUGCCCUCCGAGGGGAAGAUGGUGUCGGACGUCUCUAACGCCUGGGGCGGUCUAGAAGGGGCGGAGAAGGGUUAUGAGGAGUGGCUCCUCAACGAGAUACGCCGGCUGGAGAGACUCGACCACCUGGCUGAGAAGUUCCGUCAGAAGGCAGCCAUCCACGAAACCUGGACUGAAGGUAAGGAGGUGAUGCUGCAGGCGCGGGACUUUGAGACGGCCUCUCUGUCUGAGAUCAAGGCUCUGCUGAAGAAACACGAGGCCUUCGAGAGCGACCUGGCCGCGCACCAGGACCGCGUAGAGCAGAUAGCUGCCAUCGCUCAGGAGUUAAAUGAGCUGGACUACUAUGACUCCCCCAGUGUGAACACUCGCUGCCAGAACAUCUGUGACCAAUGGGAUGCCCUGGGAGCCUUGACUCAGAAACGCAGCGAGGCUCUGCAGAGAACUGAGAAGCUUAUGGAGACCAUCGACAGUCUCUAUCUGUAGUUGUUGGUGAAGCUCUCAUUCAACAACUGGAUGGAGGGAGCCAUGGAAGAUCUGCAGGACACGUUCAGUCUCUAUACCAUAGAGGAGAUACAGGGUCUGAGUACAGCCCACGAGCAGUUUAAAGCCACUCUCCCUGAGCGGAUACAGGUUAACCGUGGUGCCAUCCUGGUUAUUCACAAUGAGAUCAGCCAAGAUAGUGGCCACCUAUCAUGUGAACAUGGCUGGAUACAGGUUAACCCUUACACCACCAUCAACCCUCAGGACAUCAAUGCCAAAUGGGACAAGGUGAGACAGCUGGUGCCACAGAGGGACCAGGCCCUGAUCGAGGAGCAUGCCCGCCAGCAGAACAACGAACGUCUCCGGAGGCAGUUUGCCAACCAAGCCAAUGUCAUCGGGCCCUGGAUACAAACCAAGAUGGAGGAGAUUGGUCGUAUCUCUAUCGAGAUGCACGGAACCCUGGAGGAUCAGCUGACCCACCUCCGCCAAUACGAGAAGAACAUCGUCAACUACAAGCCAAAGAUCGACCAAUUGGAGGGAGACCACCAGCUGAUUCAGGAAGCUCUGAUCUUCGACAACAAACACACCAACUAUACCAUGGAGCAUAUCCGUGUGGGCUGGGAGCAGCUCCUGACCACCAUCGCCAGAACCAUCAACGAGAUCGAGAACCAGAUUCUGACGCGGGACGCCAAGGGCAUCAGCCAGGACCAGAUGAACGAGUUCAGAGCCUCCUUCAACCACUUCGACAGGGACCACUCAGGCACUCUGGGUGCUGAGGAGUUCAAGGCCUGCCUGAUCAGCCUGGGCUUCGAUAUAGCCAACGAUGCACAGAAGAAAACAGGGAUGAUGGAAGCUGAAGACUUCAAAACCUGCCUUAUCUCCCUCGGUUACAACAUGGGUGAAGCAGAGUUCUCUCGCAUCAUGAGCAUCGUGGAUCCCAACCGGGUGGGCGUGGUCACGUUCCAGGCCUUCAUAGACUUCAUGUCCCGGGAGACGGCCGACACAGACACCGCUGACCAGGUCAUGGCCUCCUUCAAGGUCCUGGCUGGGGACAAGAACUACAUCCUGGCCGAUGAGCUUCGUCGUGAGUUGCCUCCUGACCAGGCAGAGUACUGUAUCGCCCGUAUGGCUCCCUACGCCGGCCCCGACGCGAUACCCGGUGCCCUCGACUACAUGUCCUUCUCCACCGCACUCUACGGAGAGAGUGACCUCUGAGUGACCUUUGACCCCUAACAUGUGAGGUCGCUCACCAGCCUACCUGCUCUUACCACCGCCCCCCGCAAGACCCUCCUACUGCUCCAACACCGCAGCUCUGCUCUAGCAUAGGUGCCAGAUCUGUUUGUGUUGUCUUACCCAACUCAUCGUUGUCACGCCAGCUUAGCAAAACACAGAUCUGGCAUCAGGCUAGCCCUGCUCUACAACGCUCAAAACAGCACAGACAGAUCUGGCAUCAGGCUAGCCCUGCUCUACAACGCUCAAAACAGCACAGACAGAUCUGGCAUCAGGCUAGCCCUGCUCUACAAUGCUCAAAACAGCACAGACAGAUCUGGCAUCAGGCUAGCCCUGCUCUACAACGCUCAUAACAGCACAGACAAAUCUGGCAUCAGGCUAGCCCUGCUCUACAAUGCUCAUAACAGCACAGACAAAUCUGGCAUCAGGCUAGCCCUGCUCUACAACGCUCAAAACAGCACAGACAGAUCUGGCAUCAGGCUAGCCCUGCUCUACAAUGCUCAUAACAGCACAGACAAAUCUGGCGUCAGGCUAGCCCUGCUCUAUAAUGCUAACAUGUUUUUUCUAUGUUCCUGGCCUUACCUUAUAUGUCAUAAUCAUCUUGUCUGCCCCCCCUCCCCCCUCCUUCCUUUUCCACUCAUUCCCCCCUCCGCCAACCCCUUUACUGGUGUAGGCUGAAGUUGCCCAUUGAUGCUGAUCUGGGGUCAGUUUAGCACUUUCCCCACUCUAGUAGUUAGUUAGGAUUGAGGGAGUGAAAGCUGAUCCUAGAUCUGUACCCAAGGGAAACUUCACCCCCGGACGGAGAGCCCCUUCCCUCCCUCAUACUUUGUCUCAGUUGGACUUGCUUCCCAUGCAGCAACACUCUCCAGGUUUACAAAAAGGGAGAGAAAUGUGUUUUUAUUUUUCUUGUUAUUGUUUUUCUUCAUAAAAUGAAUAAAGCUAACAUAUUUUAUUAUACAGAACAAAAAAAGGUAUUUUUCUUCACCUGCUAAAAAAAAAAGAAACAACAAUUGAAAUAAAGAUAAAUUGCUAUA